GCCGGGAUGGCGCAACAGGCUGACGCGAUCGUCUCAAACACGAUUGCCCGAAAGGGCAUGCGGGUUCGAAUCCCGUUCCCGGCACCA
Molecule: transfer RNA, 87 nt
Filed under: Catellatospora citrea
Lineage: Bacteria; Bacillati; Actinomycetota; Actinomycetes; Micromonosporales; Micromonosporaceae
Also listed under: 2 other names
Description: tRNA-Leu
Rfam family: tRNA
About the family: Transfer RNA (tRNA) molecules are approximately 80 nucleotides in length. Their secondary structure includes four short double-helical elements and three loops (D, anti-codon, and T loops). Further hydrogen bonds mediate the characteristic L-shaped molecular structure. tRNAs have two regions of fundamental functional importance: the anti-codon, which is responsible for specific mRNA codon recognition, and the 3' end, to which the tRNAs corresponding amino acid is attached (by aminoacyl-tRNA synthetases). tRNAs cope with the degeneracy of the genetic code in two manners: having more than one tRNA (with a specific anti-codon) for a particular amino acid; and 'wobble' base-pairing, i.e. permitting non-standard base-pairing at the 3rd anti-codon position.
Source: RNAcentral